AGGAGGUACGUAGUGAGCAUGGGGGGUAGAGGUAGAGGUAGAGGUAGAGGUAGAGGUAGAGGUAGAGGAAGAGGUAGAGGAAGAGGAAGAGGUAGAGGAAGAGGAAGAGGAAGAGGAAGAGGAAGAGGAAGAGGAAGAGGAAGAGGAAGAGGAAGAGGAAGAGGAAGAGGAAGAGGAAGAGGAAGAGGAAGAGGCGGAGGCAGAGGUAGAGGUAGAGGCGGUGGGGAAAGUGUUUCAGAUCGAACUCCAGCGAGAAUGCACCACCCGCACGGGUGGAAUCAUCGCAUCAUGCAUACAACGAACCAGACAAGAGAGAAUCCGGUAACAGCCGCCCAACUACUCCAUCACACGAGUGGCCUCCGUCCGGGAAAAGGAACAACAUCUCGCAGCCGAAGAGAUGAGAGGAGCGCAGAGGAACGGGCGUACAUUGCUUUUUGGGGUAACUUGAAGGGAGGGGUAGAACAGUCAUACACGCGAACGGCGCAGGUGUCCGCUGUCCCAGAUAAUUUUUUUAAGUCCGGAUAAUCGAGGUCUCUACAUCGCGUCCUGCUUUAUUUGAGUGAUAAUGCUUCCACUUUAAAGCGGUGAUAUAUAAAUGAGCUACUAUGAUUGCGAAAUGGACGUGAAGGAUUUUAUGUAUUAAUGGAUGUGUGAUCGCCUUGUGUCUGAUGUGUGUCUGUAUGUAUGUGGGUAGGGUGGUAGCUCCUGACGCUCUCCGUCGUGCACCCGCCGUCUUCGUGUACCCUCAUUCAGCCGUGUUAGGCUGUGUGGUAAGGUC
Molecule: long non-coding RNA, 778 nt
Filed under: Volvox carteri
Lineage: Eukaryota; Viridiplantae; Chlorophyta; Chlorophyceae; Chlamydomonadales; Volvocaceae
Description: long non-coding RNA (VCAR_LNC000598)
Source: RNAcentral